UACUCGCACUUUCUGUCGUUUUGUAUCUUGAUCCAAUCCAAUUACGAGCUAAGCCGAGUCAAUUCGGUCCGUCCAAUUUGGUGGGGUCAGGUGUGAGGGGUGGGCCCCCAAAAUGAGGUGUAGGUGGCCCACGUGUGUAUCGUGUACAUAAGCGAACGAAUCUCGAAUGAGACGCGAGGGAAGAGCGGUAACCGAAGAGGCGGAUGGGGAGACGCCAUGGCCGUGAUGCGAGUGAUCUCCAUGGCGGCAGUAGCGGCACCAACGAUGAUGCUACCGCCAGCAAGCUGUCACUUAGUCAGAACGCAGCUAUGACAAAUCAUUACAAUCAACCAGAGCACAGAGUUGAACGUGAGGCUUUUAUUUCCAAAGAUCCAUCCCGAUGAUGCUUGUGGACAGCAAAUAAUAAAAAAAAAUCUCGAGCUUGGGUUAGUAGCAUUCAUGGAAAGCCGGAGGAGAUAUUGUGGUAGCAUUGCGAGCUUUCAAUUGCCAUAGUUUUACACCAGGGAGACCCCCGUGCUAGUCUUAUUGUUCCAGUCCACCGACGUUGAGUUGAUCAAAAGACUUCUUCAACUGCGUUGGCAAAUCCACACAAGAAAAACUCGUCAAAACGUGGAACGGUGUGAUGCUGAAAGAGAACACGGACGAGUUCGUCAUCGCAUAGCUGUUUGUCGAUGACAUCUCAACUCGCCAUUACCCACCAUAUCAUCGUAGAUUUGGACGGGACUUUGUAUUCCAAUGACUUCAUCCAUAUAAUGACUAUUUCUUGCGUUGGAAACUGCACUUCAUGGACUGGUGGAGAGUUUAUAACGUCUUUGUUACAGCUGGUGCCUAACGAGAGCUGUUGGGAAACCCAGAUAAUUCCAGUAUCCCGUCGGCAGGACACGAGUCGGUCACCUUGACACCACCUGUCGCUUCGCCUUCCUGAGCCUUUCUACUUCCAUCUGAAGGCUAAACGAUGAGGUUGUGUUGCGUUACUUUGAAUCUUUAACCUUCAACUCUUUUGAUAUCUACACUAUUUUGGUAGGUUGCAUCAAACAAACCAAACCAUUGAAUACAGAUACACUGGUGUGAGAUGAGUAAAAGUAUGAUGCAUUACAAAUGAUGGUCAAUGUUGUAGGUGAAAGUUGGUCGUCGUUUUUGUGUGUUUCAACUGCAUGCAAUA
Molecule: long non-coding RNA, 1162 nt
Organism: Musa acuminata subsp. malaccensis (wild Malaysian banana)
Lineage: Eukaryota; Viridiplantae; Streptophyta; Magnoliopsida; Zingiberales; Musaceae
Source: RefSeq, a predicted model, not a curated record